This 578-nucleotide ribosomal RNA is filed under the name uncultured bacterium. RNAcentral's name for it is "bacterial SSU rRNA". It matches the Rfam family "Bacterial small subunit ribosomal RNA", at positions 28 to 638 of the family's 1533-position model. The record is from RNAcentral.
AAUCAACGCUGGCGGCGUGCCUAACACAUGCAAGUCGAACGAGAAAGGGACUUCGGUCCUGAGUAUAGUGGCGCACGGGUGAGUAACACGUGACUAAUCUACCCUCGAGUGGGGAAUAACUGAGAGAAAUCUUAGCUAAUACCGCAUAACACUUACGAGUCAAAGCAGCAAUGCGCUUGGGGAGGAGGUCGCGGCCGAUUAGCUAGUUGGCGGGGUAAUGGCCCACCAAGGCGAUGAUCGGUAUCCGGCCUGAGAGGGCGCACGGACACACUGGAACUGAAACACGGUCCAGACUCCUACGGGAGGCAGCAGUGGGGAAUUUUGCGCAAUGGGGGAAACCCUGACGCAGCAACGCCGCGUGGAGGAUGAAGUAUCUCGGUACGUAAACUCCUUUCGAUGGGGAAGAUAAUGACGGUACCCAUAGAAGAAGCCCCGGCUAACUUCGUGCCAGCAGCCGCGGUAAUACGAGGGGGGCAAGCGUUGUUCGGAUUUAUUGGGCGUAAAGGGUGCGUAGGCGGUUUGGCAAGUCUUGUGUGAAAUCUAUGGGCUCAACCCAUAGCCUGCACGAGAAACUACCG